Molecule: long non-coding RNA, 766 nt
Organism: Galeopterus variegatus (Sunda flying lemur)
Lineage: Eukaryota; Metazoa; Chordata; Mammalia; Dermoptera; Cynocephalidae
Exons: 3
Source: RefSeq, a predicted model, not a curated record
GCUUGGGCAAGUGGAGAGGCCUAAGGGAGAAAAAUGAAAAAGCAGAGUCUGGCUUGAGUCACUUUGCCUCCUCUCGGGCCCAAACCCCUCUGACCAGGGAAGCCGGAGCGGGCAUCGGAGCUGAGAGAACCUGAGAGGAAAUGCAUGUGUAUGGUUCAAAACUCAAAAGGCAUCAAAAGUUAUACAAUGACAAGACUAAACCUUUCCUGCUUUGCAAUCUCUGGGUCCUUUCAAGUCCUUUGUAGCCUUCAACAGCGACCUGCUACAGGAUUUUCAGCCCCGAGGACUGGAAGUCUGGUCUGCAGCUUCUUUCCUUCUGGACCACAAAGAGGGCUUCUGGAUUCAUCUUUCCCUGCAAUCCAGCUUCUCCUCCUGGGACCCCCAUCUUGGAGACCGAGAUCACCAUCCAGCUACUCACAUUGUCUAGGAAUCUGGGAGUCAUCCUGAAUCACUCUGCCCUUAUCAGCUUCUCUUAGUCAACAAACUUUUAUUUGGUUUCUCCAGCAAACAGCCAGCCCCUGUUCAUGGUGCCGAAGACAGAAUGUACAAAACAAAUCCCUGCCCUCACGGGCUUGCCAUCAGAGACCUAUGUUGUGGAUUAUCCUACUGAACAUCUAUUACUCUGUCCCCUCCUUCCCACUGUCAUCAUCGUUGGUCCUCCUGUCACCUGGAAUCCUCUGCUUGGUAACCAGUAUGAUCUUACAAACCCAGUUCUAUCCUUGCCUGCAUUUUGCCAAAAAUCUCAAAUAAAGACUUUUUAAAAAUA